AAUGGGACAUUAGUAUUAGAGCAUAAGGAUAAGCGCGAUUUGGGGCUCCAUUUGCUGCAGUUUGCUUAGGUUGUUGAGGAGGCUUGUACCAAUUUGUUACCGAAUGUUGUGUGUGACUACCUCUAUAAUUUAUCCGAAAUCUUCUCCAAAUUUUACAGCAACCCUGAGUGCAAGGUUAUCGGGUCAGAUAAGGAAACAAGUAGACUACUAUUAUGUGAAGCAACCGCAGUGGUUAUGAGAAAAUGCUUCAAUCUCCUGGGAAUCACACAUAUUUACAAGAUAUGAUUGUACUUUGAAAGCUUUACAUAUAACCUAUUCUUUAGAAGGGUAGGUUAUAUAUUACUUCAUAUAAAAUUCUAUGUACCGAGACAAUUGUAUUCAGAUCUCAUUACUUUAUUUAUUUGGACAGUUUUGAUUGUG
Long non-coding RNA from Gossypium raimondii (Peruvian cotton), 420 nucleotides. RefSeq lists it as uncharacterized. The transcript has 3 exons. Lineage: Eukaryota; Viridiplantae; Streptophyta; Magnoliopsida; Malvales; Malvaceae. The record is from RefSeq and is a predicted model, not a curated record.